UGGGGAAUUUUGGACAAUGGGCGAAAGCCUGAUCCAGCCAUGCCGCGUGAGUGAAGAAGGCCUUCGGGUUGUAAAGCUCUUUUAGUCGGAAAGAAAGAGUUGCAAUGAAUAAUUGUGAUUUAUGACGGUACCGACAGAAAAAGCACCGGCUAACUACGUGCCAGCAGCCGCGGGAAUACGUAGGGUGCGAGCGUUAAUCGGAAUUACUGGGCGUAAAGGGUGCGCAGGCGGUCUUGCAAGUCAGAUGUGAAAGCCCCGGGCUUAACCUGGGAAUUGCGUUUGAAACUACAAGACUAGAGUGCAGCAGAGGGGAGUGGAAUUCCAUGUGUAGCAGUGAAAUGCGUAGAGAUGUGGAAGAACACCGAUGGCGAAGGCAGCUCCCUGGGUUGACACUGACGCUCAUGCACGAAAGCGUGGGGAGCAAACA
This 427-nucleotide ribosomal RNA is filed under the name uncultured beta proteobacterium. Its description in RNAcentral is "bacterial SSU rRNA". It matches the Rfam family "Bacterial small subunit ribosomal RNA", at positions 355 to 774 of the family's 1533-position model. The record is from RNAcentral. Lineage: Bacteria; Pseudomonadati; Pseudomonadota; Betaproteobacteria.